CUAACAUAGGAGGAAUAAACGGUAUUUUGCUUACAUUGUUUUCAAUAACAAUGUACAGAAGACUAGCAGAAAAUUACAAACUUGGAGCAGUCUGAGCCUCAGUUUUGGCGUUUUCAUGAGUCUUAAUUACGAAUGAAAUUCAGCACUUUGAAGCCAAACUCGGAAAGAAACAGAAACAGAAUUGGAUGAGCUGAUAUAGAAUUAGACAGGAAAAACAUAUUAUGAGAAUACAUUAUUACAGUACAGACCAUUGAUGCUGGAAGUGAGUGGAUAGUGUUACCGGAGACUCAGGGAUCCAGAAAAUAGAUCCAUAAAUUGUACAGUGUAUUCAUGAAAGUGGAUCAAAUAAAAAUGUUUAAUC
Saccostrea cuccullata (small rock oyster) is the source of this 361-nucleotide long non-coding RNA. RefSeq lists it as uncharacterized. The record is from RefSeq and is a predicted model, not a curated record. Lineage: Eukaryota; Metazoa; Mollusca; Bivalvia; Ostreida; Ostreidae. The transcript has 3 exons.